Molecule: long non-coding RNA, 1382 nt
Organism: Monomorium pharaonis (pharaoh ant)
Lineage: Eukaryota; Metazoa; Arthropoda; Insecta; Hymenoptera; Formicidae
Exons: 2
Source: RefSeq, a predicted model, not a curated record
AAAUAAUUAUGUUAUAUACCCUUGUGUAAUUUUGUCACUUGUACUAACGUAAAUGUAAUAUAAUUACAGGUGUUACAAGGAUUCGGAUACUAUUGUACUUGGAUCAUGGACUGAAGCCAUCAUUUGGACGAGUAGGAUAAUGCUAGGCUCUCGUCAGGCCAUCUGAUCGCGACUGAAACGCAAACGUAGUGUGAAACGAUUCAUCAGUUGUCACGUGAAGCGGUGACCACAACGUAUUAUCAGCGACGAUCGGAUUCCACGAAUGGUCAGGGAAAUCGCUGCGGUCUAGUUUCCGUUGCGAGCGGAUUUAAACGACGGCCUGUUCGACACGCCGGCCGUAAACCAGCUCGGGAUUUGGAAUUUCCGCGCUUCAAAUUUCCGCCUUCGUGGAAAGAUCUGCCAAGUGACCGCUGUAUAAUUAGACUAACCAUUAACACAGCUGUUAGGCCGUAAGAAGUUUUACGGCCUAACUCUAAAUAAAAACGGCUUUGAACAAUUUCGCUCUGGCGUGCCGCAUUUUCUUUAUAAUCAGUGCAAGAAAGAUAUCAUCUUAUUGUUGUCAAGUUGAGGAAAUACAUUUUUCACACAAGUGUUACUAGUAUAUUUUUUAUACUAUAUAUCAUGUUAUAUAUAUAUAUCAAAUAUAAAGUAUUAGGUCCAACAUAUUUUAAUUAAAUGUAAAAUGUGUUGAAAUAUAAUCUAAUCUGAUAAAGCUUUUGUGUAAUAAAAAUAUUUUUAAUAUGAGACUGAAGAAGAUAUCACGCGUUUAUUAAAAGAUAUUAAUAUUUUUUAAAAAUAAGAAUGCUUUUUGCGUGAGGACUUUUUCAAUUAAAAUAGAUAUUUUAUUCAAAGAUGUCGAAAAUUGUCGAAAAAUAAUUUAACUGUCAGAAAAUACAUUCUAUUAGGUUGAAAGAAUUCGAGUGUUAUAUUUGAAAUAAAUUUACUUAUAAACUACGUUUGCUGUUUCAAAAACGUUUUUGCAAAAAAAUGCGUUAAUGUUUAAAAUACUCCCUUAAAAAAAAUAAAAGAGAUGGCCACAUAAUGCACGGCCUCUAAACGGAGUAAAACGAUACGAUCGUCUUACGCAUCUCUCGCACCUAUUCAUUUUCGAAUACAACCUGCUUAAUCGCGUGCCCUCCCACUGCAUCUUGCAAAUCCGCCGUGGUUAAUCUUUGCAGUGCAUCGUUAUUUGGUCCGGAAAAAAUAUCUCGUGCAGAAUCGUAAUACGCGGUACGCUUUCGCGGCAAAAGUGUAAAAAUUGCCGUUCACUCGGUAUCAAUGUCAUUAGUUACAAUGUUAUACGUUCACGUAGGCAAAUUAGAUGAAGUCAUUGCAUUCGACGCUUGAAUGCAUCUAAUUUUCUUCGAUAUAGAAUCUCCUCC